RNAcentral lists this ribosomal RNA (253 nucleotides) under uncultured bacterium. Its description in RNAcentral is "partial 16S ribosomal RNA". It matches the Rfam family "Bacterial small subunit ribosomal RNA", at positions 524 to 776 of the family's 1533-position model. The record is from RNAcentral.
UACGGGGGGGGCAAGCGUUGUUCGGAAUUACUGGGCGUAAAGGGCUCGUAGGUGGCCAACUAAGUCGGACGUGAAAUCCCUCAGCUUAACUGGGGAACUGCGUUCGAUACUGGAUGGCUCGAGUUUGGGAGAGGGAUGCGGAAUUCCAGGUGUAGCGGUGAAAUGCGUAGAUAUCAAGAGGAACGCCGGAGGUGAAGACGACUCACUGGGCCUGUCCUGACGCUGAGGUGCGAAAGCUAGGGGAGCAAACGGG